Molecule: long non-coding RNA, 1018 nt
Filed under: Coturnix japonica (Japanese quail)
Lineage: Eukaryota; Metazoa; Chordata; Aves; Galliformes; Phasianidae
Description: lncRNA (ENSCJPG00005016567.1)
Source: RNAcentral
GGCAUGUAUUGGUUAAAAGAACAUAGUGCAAAACAGAUUAUUUCAUGGCAGAUCUCAAGUGAUAUAAAUAAUAUCAAGUCUUUAAAAUUAGUGAGUAGAUGAGAUUAUCAAAAUGGCUUGCUCUGUCUUUUGUUAUGUGAGAAAACUUUCUGUGCCACUAUUUAUAUGUUAUGAACUUCCUGUCUCAAACGAUGGGCCCGACAGCAUCAGUCUGGGCGUCACAGAGCGAGUCAGCCUACAGAGAAAAGGCUCAUGUGCAUGCUUCUUGUGGAAGUGCAGGCUCCAGGGAAACCAGGCCUGUCAGAGUAUGAUCUUCACGCUAGCCAGAAAUCUGUGGACCAUAACAUGGGUGUCUUUACAAUCACAGCAACAAAAGAGCAGAGAUGCUCUGGGUCUGUGGCAGUCUGGCUGAAGCUCAGAACAAAAUUCAAGGGAGUCCAGCAUUGCACACAGAGUUUCUUCUGCUGUAUUAAUUGAGAGAGAGAGAAGGCAGAGGACUUAAACUGUGUUACUCAAAGGUAAGUGUUUUGAUAGCCUGCUCAGUUCUCAGUACUUUGAGGAGUUCGAGAAAUCCCUUUAAACUGUGCACGUCCUAUUAUUUGUACAUUAGAAGUUGUUAAGGUGUCUUCACCUUCACUUGUGGAUUGUUUUCUGUCAUGCUUUAACUGGUACAUAGGCUACGCCUUUCUCCGUUUCACCCUGACAUCAUUCCCGGGCCUUUUUAUUUGUCAAAGGCUUGCAUUCCAAUUUGGGGACUGAUAAAGAUUGAGGACUUGGGGAUCCAAGAACCUUAAGUUCUUAUUGAGUGUUUGCUGCAAAAAUAAUGUUCUGACCAACUCAUUAACUAGCUAGAUGGACUUACUCUGCUUUGUAAUGUGUUUCAUACUUCCAUGCUCUAAACGAUGCUGUUGUCUGUCUUUGUCAAAUCAGUUGGAAAUUAAAUACAAAUUCCAUUUACAGGUCAUUAUUUUUUUGCAUUGCUGUUGUUUUGAUAGGAGCAUACGCGUGUAUGUUAAGC